Long non-coding RNA from Parus major (Great Tit), 422 nucleotides. RefSeq lists it as uncharacterized. The record is from RefSeq and is a predicted model, not a curated record. The transcript is spliced from 2 exons. NCBI's taxonomy places the organism in Eukaryota, Metazoa, Chordata, Aves, Passeriformes, Paridae.
GCCCGGCUGGGGCUGCUGGGAGCGCCGGUGCCUCCCCUCCUAGCUUUCCGGAGCGCCUGGAAGGGAAGGGAAAGGGUUUGAGGGUGUUUUUUAACUGUAGGUGCAAGGCGAAAGGGGAAAGCUCCGCAGCCUAUAAAAAGCAUCACCGCUUCCUCAGCUGCCAGUGAGACCGGCAUCCUGGAGACUAACAGCUGUUGAGGGAUCUUGAGGGCUCCGGGCUGGGACUCUUUGUGGGUGUUCGUUCCAAAUGCAAAGUCGGGCUCUGUGAGGCUGUGGCUGUAUACCAUGCACACCUGGCUAGGAAAGACCAGGAAUGUGAGGUUGAUAUAAUUGAUAGAUCACUUUGUCUUCAAGAACUAUGGGUGACGUGACAAUUUAAAAAAUAAAUAAAUAAAUAAAAUUGAGGUCUCUGUUGAACAUGA